AGUGAACGCUGGCGGUAGGCCUAACUCAUGCAAGUCGAACGGCAGCACAGUAAGAGCUUGCUCUUACGGGUGGCGAGUGGCGGACGGGUGAGGAAUACAUCGGAAUCUACUUUUUCGUGGGGGAUAACGUAGGUAAACUUACGCUAAUACCGCAUACGACCUACGGGUGAAAGCAGGGGAUCUUCGGACCUUGCGCGAUUGAAUGAGCCGAUGUCGGAUUAGCUAGUUGGCGGGGUAAAGGCCCACCAAGGCGACGAUCCGUAGCUGGUCUGAGAGGAUGAUCAGCCACACUGGAACUGAGACACGGUCCAGACUCCUACGGGAGGCAGCAGUGGGGAAUAUUGGACAAUGGGCGCAAGCCUGAUCCAGCCAUACCGCGUGGGUGAAGAAGGCCUUCGGGUUGUAAAGCCCUUUUGUUGGGAAAGAAAAGCAGCAGGUUAAUACCCCGCUGUUCUGACGGUACCCAAAGAAUAAGCACCGGCUAACUUCGUG
RNAcentral lists this ribosomal RNA (492 nucleotides) under uncultured bacterium. RNAcentral describes it as "partial 16S ribosomal RNA". It matches the Rfam family "Bacterial small subunit ribosomal RNA", at positions 29 to 507 of the family's 1533-position model. The record is from RNAcentral.